RNAcentral lists this ribosomal RNA (506 nucleotides) under uncultured bacterium. RNAcentral's name for it is "partial 16S ribosomal RNA". It matches the Rfam family "Bacterial small subunit ribosomal RNA", at positions 29 to 523 of the family's 1533-position model. The record is from RNAcentral.
AGUGAACGCUGGCGGUAGGCCUAACACAUGCAAGUCGAACGGCAGCACAGGAGAGCUUGCUCUCUGGGUGGCGAGUGGCGGACGGGUGAGGAAUACAUCGGAAUCUACUUUUUCGUGGGGGAUAACGUAGGGAAACUUACGCUAAUACCGCAUACGACCUACGGGUGAAAGCAGGGGAUCUUCGGACCUUGCGCGAUUGAAUGAGCCGAUGUCGGAUUAGCUAGUUGGCGGGGUAAAGGCCCACCAAGGCGACGAUCCGUAGCUGGUCUGAGAGGAUGAUCAGCCAGACUGAAACUGAGACACGGUCCAGACUCCUACAGGAAGCAGCAGUGGGGAAUAUUGGAAAAUGGGCGCAGGCCUGAUUCAGCCAUGCCGCGUGGGUGAAGAAGGCCUUCGGGUUGUAAAGCCCUUUUGUUGGGAAAGAAAUCCAGCUGGUUAAUACCCGGUUGGGAUGACGGUACCCAAAGAAUAAGCACCGGCUAACUUCGUGCCAGCCGCCGCCGUAA